CCCCCCCUUCUCUCUAAGAACACUUCUCCAGCUGGGGACCUUUCUAUUUGCCUCGUCUUCCUUGCAGAAAUACAAGUCCUCCUUUUGCCCAAUCUAAAUAAUCUAUGUGCAGCAGCUCAGUGUGUGAUCAGCCUCCUAACCAGCGCUCAGUCUCCUCUUUUUAACCACAGGACUCAAGACACAACACCUUCUUUUUAUCAGACCUCACAACCAGCCCGUGCCGCUUGCAGCUCGUGAGUAAUGUUUCUCCUUGAGAGCCCAGAAGUUCUGUUUGAGCCAUUCACCUCCCCAUUCCCACACACCUGGCUAUCCCCCAUGUACAACUUCCCAAUGGGAGCUCCUUUAUUCACCCCGACCUACACCAUUGCCCUCUGCUCUACUGAGAGGCCAAAUGUUUUUGUGCCUGCCCAUUGCUGUACAUUUUAACCCCUCCCCCACCAAACUUUGGAUCUCCUUCCUUUAAUUCCAGAAGUGUGUGUGGCUAUUUCCACUCCUGAUAGCGCUGAAUAAACAGCAUUUUUCAUUUUCCCAUGGGAAAAGAUCAGCCUGGAAGGAAAACCCAGAGCGUGAGCUUGGUGCCAUGUGGGAGGGGAACCUCCCUGGUAACAGAGCGUUUACAUGAUUUGCAUGAUCUGAAGAGGAAUAAGAGAAUGGAAGCCAGUGCUAGGAAGCAGGGUAAGAGCUACAGGCAGGUUUCUCAGGAAGCUGGCAGCAUGGUGACAGCACAGCUGUCAUCAAUCUGCUUUGAUUCCGGGUGUGAACAAGUUAGAGCUUGCACCUGUCUCAAAGCAGUUUGGGGAGGAACGGAUGAAACCUGCGGCUUGUUAACAGGAGGGUCAGCUGGUGGGUACAUAAGCUCCAUUCUCAGUUGGUCACUCAAGAGUGAGGAAGAAAGUUGGGCCCUUUUGGCUCCUGCUCUCUGCUCUAGCGCUACGCAGCAAAAAAAACCCAGCUAAUCCGGGAUGAAGCUUUGCCUUGCAAGCUUGGGGAGCCCUUAGUCCGCGGGCAGGAAUCCCAGUUCUAUUACUCUCCAGGGAUGUAGCAGGCACGUGAGGGCUCAUCAGAGACGGGCUGUCCUCAAGGAGUCCCUGCACAUGUGAUGAGAGAAUUAAAACAGAGGGGCGUCAAUACUAUGGAUAUUUCAAGUCUCCAGGGAGCUCUGCUUGGAAGGAAAGAGACGGCAGAGCGCCUGCAGCAGAACUAAAGCUUCAGCUCACUGAAUUCUCUUCUUUUUCCUCCCACUUCUGCAAGAACACCCUUCAGACCACCGUUGCUUCAGCCAUAGAAGUGAUGUAGUCAAGGUCCACGAGUCCACGUGAGAGCUCAGACAGGGAGGAGGAGGAGGAGGAGACCCAAGUGGCCGCUUUCUCAGUGCUGAGGACUAUGUGCCCUGCUGCCAACCCCAGCACCGGGCUCCUCCACCUCCCAUGGGGCUCCCUGUGCUGUGAGUGACCGCAUCCAUCCCUGCACCACGUCCUCCAGACAGAGCCAUGCUGCAGCUCGGGGCAUUCUCCAAAGAAAUUGCUUUCUCGUGACUAAAUGUUAGCACAGAGAAUGAACGAAGAAAGACCACAAAUUUACUUAAAAUUCAUCACUGGCUCCCCAGCACAGGGGAAAGUCUGGGGUCGGUGUCAUGUCCUGCAGCGGAUGCAGGAAGAUUGGCUGCUUGUGUUCACAGAAUCCUUAAGGUUGGAAAACACCACAAAGACCAUCUAGUGCAACCACGUUGGGGUGGUCUGCUCGGACACAUCUCCUAAGAGCUUCAAACUUUCCACAGUUUCCUUAUCCUUGUCCCUGAGGGAAAGCACCAGGGACACCAAGGCACAGAGUCCUUGUAGGCAUGGCUGGCUGCCAGCCACCCUUGUCCUCUGGUUAAUAGAGGAGCAAAUGGAAUGAUUGUAGGUAAUACGAGCACUGCACAACCCCGUCAUAGCCAGGAAUGUUUCAGCUGCAUCAUUAUUGUAUUCUUUUUUCCUGCAACAUCUCAUUUGCCCUUGGUUGUAAGAGGAUUGAGCUGAUGUUGGGGGCGUUUUCAAUUCUUCAGCAAAAAUUUUGGUAUUUUUCGUAAGGAAAAGGCAUGAAUGGACACAGCAGUUUUGACUGACCUGAUUAGAAGUAUAGGAGAAAGCACUUCAUGUGGGUGCAUUGCCCUGAUGUCCUGGGCUGCAGGCUGAAGCUGUGCUCACCCCUCCCAGGUGCAAACACUCAGGCUCUGCUGGGCAGAUGAAGCACAGCUGGGUAACGAGCAGGUCCUGGUGGGCAUUGUUUGCUGGCCUGGUAAGCUGCCCUGCCUAUUUAGGGAACUGACCCAAACCUGGGAGCUCAGAAAUGUGAUGCUCUGUGCUGCAGCCUUUCAUGGUCUUCUUCAAAUUCAGUAGGCAUGCCUUUGCCACCACCAGCAGCAGUUUUUCUCCUUGGAUUUCAGGUGCUAUUUGCAUCUCACCAUUUGGGACCUGGCCAUCGCUGCUUUCAUCCACCAAUCUUGGAAGGAGGUGUUGCUGCCCUGCUGACAACUCACCCGCUCCCACCAGAGGAACCCUGAGGGCUGGGAUGCACAUUGCUUUCUGCCCUGGGGCUGUAAGCAGGAACAGCAGUUUGGUGAUUUCCUUGGCUCUGUGUUGCUUGUCACUGGAGCAGCCGGGGCUGGGUGGAAGAGAGUGGCUGCACAUCUUUCUGCUCCUGGUGGCUCUUACUGUUAAAAGCCAGCCCUGUGCCACGGACUGGCCCAGCCCUUCAGGUGGUAGACAACCUGCUUCAGCAGCAGCUUUGUUCAGAAUUUAUCGGGCUGCAGCUGGGAAUCUUUCCCUUUGAUCCAUCUCUGCUAUUAAACAGCUUCUGAUAAUGCCGCCGAGUUCACAUCAAGGAGGGGAAGCCGAGCAACCUCAAUUUUGGAGCUGGGCAGCAGCGGGGAGCCCGUCUUAAAGCUGCAUCACCUCACUGGCUUCAAAAGCGAAGGAGCUCCUUUUAUUGCAGCGUGCUGCACUCCAGGAAUGAUUAAAGUCCUGUAAACGCGCACCUUCCUCAUCACAGAGCUGUCUGCAGGCAGGGUGCCAAGUACAACAAGCCCAAUCCAAAGCAUCAUCCCCUCCGUGGGGCUAAUGGUUGUUGCCUUGUCUCCUGAACAAGAAGAGUGGUAAGGGAAAGUAGAGCCUGGAGACACGCACACACAUCCCUGUAUGGAAAGAAUCCCUGAAAGAGAACUGAAAAGCAAUUGAGGAGUCAGCCUAUGGGCUACAGACAAAGCGCAGAGCGAAGGAGAUAACCGGCAGUGAGCGCUGGGAAAUAAUGCCCUAAAUUCCCUCUGAGCCCAUUCAUCACCGUGGCUUCGGCGAUCAUCUCAGCAACAAAUUCCCUUAUCAUCCGGUUGGAAUUCAACGUUAAUGACCUGUCUGUUAUUUCAGAGGGAGAUGGACUGGAACCGGAGGGUAAUUGGUAGGAAAAAUCGCCGGGUACAGCAAAGAGCUGAUGCUAUUGGAGUAGUUACACCAUGAGAGAGGGAGAUUAAGGAGCUCUGCUCACCACAAGGGGCUUAUUCAUCCUGAAUAAAUGUGUUAACUGCCCAGAGCUGUCCUCCUACGCCCUCAUUCCUGUCUGGUGGCAUCUCCCAACCGCAGCUCACCCUGUUUUUCCCAACAAACAGCAGAGAUACGGCCCAGCAGAAGCUGAUAGAGUCAUAGAACACCCAGGGUUGGAAGGGACCCAUAAGGAUCACCAAGUCCAACUCCUGCUGGUGAGAUGAUCACGGUAAGGAAUAACCAGUUCUCUCCAAGCUCGCAUUGAUGGAUGCGUUUAUUUUGGAGUUCGCUCAGGGAAGGCCAUAAUUACUCUAAUUUCUUAAUUACCAAAAUUAUUCAGAAUGAUUCUGCAAACACCUCUGCCCUGCAACGCUUUGCACGAGGAGCCUCCCAGAUUGCAGCAGCAUGAGGAUUUGGGUCUGUUUCUCUGCUGGAAGGACUCACUGCGUUUAUUGCCAUUUCUCCUCGCCACCUGCAGGACAACUUCCCAUGUGCUUUGUGCAAAUUACAGCGCCCACGUUAGCGGGGCAGCCUGCAGCCCUCACCGAAAAUAGGAUGACUGGAGAGUGUCAGGAGAGAGCAAGAAGCAAGUCCAGAGGUAAAGCCUUGGCUCUGUUGCAAAGAAGGAUAGCUUUGCCUGGGACUUGAUGUCUGUGCUUUCUCUCAACAGUUUCCCAUUUCCACCUUCCACUUCCCAGCUAACAGGACCAGCACCAGUCAUGUUUCGGUGAGCACACCUGCUUUAUAAAUUAGCUCCCGGGAGUAUUUGCAAAAACAAAGCUGGAAGGCACGGCCAUGGGACUGGGUUUGCUGCAGAAAUACCAGCACGUAUUCAUAAUAAAGCAGCUGCACGCUUUGCCCAGCUCUGUCUGUAACUUCCCGUCAUGUCCUGUACCUUUCUGGGAAGAAAGAAUGGGUGAUGGUGGUGGGAAAAUUGCAUCACCGAGCCAAAAAGGAUUUUGCAAUCGCUUUUGAUGGAGCUGGGGCUGCUUUUAACUCUACGUAUUCCACAUGUCUCUGCGCAACCCUAUGGGUUCUCCACCAUUUUAGGCAGCGAUAGAGAAGAAAAAUGCUCCUUUUCCACAAAAAUACACCCUGGAGGGCCCACGGACACUGGGGAGGGACCUAAAUUUGAGGAAGAAACUGGCUUUCUCUGCAAGGAGCCUGAGGGAGUUCUCCUUCCAGGAUGCGCUCCUGAGUGUGUGUGGGAUUUAACGCAGCCAGGACUGCACAGGAGGGUCAGCCCUAUGCCCUACGUGCAAGGCAGGCACUACUGCUGCCUGUCCCCAUCAUCACUGCAGGGUGACAUGAGUUGGGGACCAGGUGUGAUGAGGAGCUCUCGUGGUGCCUCUUUCCAAGCUGCAGACCCAGAAGUUGGGUUUCUUCCCUACAGCCCCAUAAAGAGCUGUCAACUGUUCCACCAGGAACCGAGAUGAUAAUCCCAGCUCGUUGCUUUCCUUUGCAUGGGAGAAUUUUCAUGCAAAAAAAAAAAAAAAGCGUCAACAAAAUGAAUCAAGCGCUCUGGUAGUGGCCCCGUUCCCACACGCUCCAUGUGCUCUUCCUCUUGACUCACCAGUGAGGAGGUGAUAUCAUGGGGAGGCUGUUCUGAAAAUGCUUUAAUCAAUUUAAUUCAUAGCCAGCUGCGGUAGGAGCAGGAAGGUGUUCCCUCCUUGUGCCCAGAGAUGGCCCAGUGUCCUCCAGCUGCCCCUGGAGAUGCAGCACUGUGCCCAGGUAGCAAGGCCUUGCUGCUGGUCAUCCACACCAAGCCUGGGAAUGAAACUUUUGGCAACAGCCUGGACCAAGCUCCAGUUUCUUCCUUCUUCAUUGAAAAGCAUGUUGACUGCUGCAGACAAACUAGAACCCAGCGUGUUCAUAAAAUAAAUCCCCACAUAACUGCAAUACAAUAUUUCUGCAAAAAAGGUUUUCUUAUCUUCAUUUUUCCCCCCUAUCUCUGUCUCUUUUUCCCCCCAUCUUGGACUAAUUGCUACCAGACCAGGAACCUUCAAACAGAUUUAUUUGGAGCCUUGGCGUGGGCUCACGGUGGCUGGAAAUCUUCUUGCUAUUCCUACAAAAAACAGAUUCUGGCUGGAGGGAAAGGAGAACUCCAGUGUUAGAGAUGACCUUAACAGCACACAUUGCAAAUGAGAUGGGAAGUGGAGAACUGCCUGAAACAUCUCUGGCCCUCUUAGAGAAGCUGCUUUCCCUUUGCUUUAUCAAGGCUGAGCUGCAAAUGUUGCAAGGAUGAACCCAGCAGUCUGCUGCUGUUUCUUUUUGCAUGUUCUCAAGGCAGCUCCCAGAAUAAGUUUGAACACUGUCUAACACUGAACAUGCUGAUGCAUCCCAUGCUUAUGUGUCCAUGUGCGACAUGGCUGGAAAUGAUGUGGUGCAGGGUCCUCGGGAUUUGCAGCAGAAAUAGAUUGGGCUCCUGAAAGCAUCGCCCAGGAUUGCUAUGGUCCAGAGCAGGCCCAGCACUAGGAAAGAUGCUCUGCUUCAAGCUGGGGUUGUGCUUGGUGGGAGUUGAGGAUUACACACCUUCCUCCAGUUGGAUAUUUCAAACAAUGGUGCAAACAAUGGAAAACCCCUUGAAAGAAUGCUAUCCUGAGUGCUGUCCCCCUAAGAGGAGAUGCGUGUCAGGAGAUAUAUUGGCCAUGUGAGUUUCUGAGUCGUUUCAGCUGUGAACAGUGUACACUAACCAAGAUUUAGCUAAUGGGUACAUUGGGACAUGCACAUAGAUACGCUCUCCUUUUGAGUCCUUCUCUUUACCUUUCAACCCCUGAAAUCAUCCAAGCUGCUAACACUCUGAGGAGGAUGACGCAGCAAAAAUAAUAGUUUUAGCAAGAAACAGAAAAAUGAGAUUUGCAAAUGUUUUUCUGGGAAAAACAUCAAGUUUUCCUGCUUAGAAAAUGAAUGGGUUGGAAUCCGGCUUGUAAAACUUGAAGCCUGACUCGGGCCCUGAUUUGUCACGGGGCUGUCACCUGUGGUCAUUGUUAGUGAGGACUCCUCAAUGUUCUGUCGAAAAGGAAAGAUUGCUCUCUGUGUUAUUGAUGGAUUCGUGUUUGGGGAAGAGCAAAUCCUUGUCAAGCUGGAGGAGCUUUCUGUGCAUUAAGCGGUGGGUGCGGAAAGUUAGGGGAACACAGAACCAUCCCUCCUCGCUGCAGAGCAGCUCCCAGGGAGCGCAGUGAUAAAUGGAUUGCAGAAAACUUGGGGGUUCAGCUCGGCCAGGGGAAAUAACAGUGGUGUCUAUCUGAUCUCUGCAAACCUGAUUUUCCGCUUACGCGCCAGACGAUAAAUCAGCGGUACAUGUGCUUAUGUUGGCACGCCAAGUUUUCCCCUGGAUGCCGGUCUAUAGGCACGCUCUCCUUUGGCCACAAGAGCUCAGAUCUGGUGCAGAAACCACGAGCACGGUGCUGGCAGGUGGCAUCCCAACCCAACAACACUGCAUUGCCCUUGGCUGGACAGCCAGAGCCACCACAGUGCAGCACAGCCACGGGAGGAGGACGGCAAGCGCUCCAGGCGAACCUCUUCAAACUGAUUUUGAAACUGGGGCAAAAGUUGAAAUAGGGUUUAAUUUUAUCUCGAUUGAUUCAUCUGUCCCUAAUUAGUAAUAGCUUCCUAAUGCAUGACGCAAGGAUGUGUGGAGGUUUUUUUAAUGAAUAACUCUUGGCUAAGAUAAAAUGUUGCUGUUCUCAGAUUGUCUCAGAUAGUUCUUUUUAUAUGCCAAUAGAGAUUUGUGCAGUCUAAGAUGAAAAAUACGUGAGAUCCCACAGUCACACACGCUGAAGACUAAACUCUUUUAGAUUAUGGAUCCUAUCUUGUUCCCAAUUUAUUUUGUACAUCCUGUUUUAGUAUCUGUAUUUGCUUUUACUGAGAGAGGAGCCUCAGUCUCCCAGAACUGCAGUGCGUGAUGCUGUGCAGGGAUGGAGCAAAAACUGCUCCUUGCACACAGGGCAAUUUUUCAUGGGAACAGUGUGAAAUUACUGAUUUUUCUGUUUUCAGGGGGAAAGUUGUACCGGCUUUGCCUUACUUUCUCUUUCUGUCCUCUUCCCCAUUUCCUCUCUCCUUCCCGCCCAUGGGUCAAGGGGCUGGACAUAAACUUGAGGCCACGUGGCAGGGAUGCAGGAGGCGGAGCAGUGCCCGUGGGCUGUAUUUGGGUUGAAUCUCACGAUCCCAGGCGGCAGGAGGUUCGGGAUGCACACAUCCUGUUCCUGGGCAGCAUAGCUCGGAGCUAGUCCCUCUCACCCCAUAGCGCACCGCUCGUCCACAUCAUUCCUCCGCUCCUACUCAUACCUCCUCGUGCCAUCCAACAUAUUUCAUCCCAGUCCUCUGUCCUCACACCCCUGAAACCCUUCCAAGCUGCUAUCGUGUCCCUUUCUACAGCGCACCUCUCCAAGCCAAGCCAUACCCCCAGGCUCUAAUCCCAUCCCAUAAAUCAAUCUCUCCAGGGCCCUGGCUGUAUUCUCUGAUAUCCAGGGGCUGUGCGGCUCCUCCUGCGCUCACAUCUCUUCUCCCUACAUCAGUAAAAUCCCAGAGACACACAGCGGGGUGAGGCUCAGGUUUCUGGGCUCAUUUUAUAACUGGUGCUGCAGAGCUCUCUGCAUGGUGAGGACCCAGGGCAGGACACGUCGAGCAGAUGGCGAUUCUGGACUGCAGAUGAGGGCUGAGUUACGGCGCUCGCAGCACAUCUUUGAUACACGUCCAGCUUUUAUCAGAUGGUUCCACUCAGUGUUUGGCACAGCUGAUGCGAAGGAAAGGCCGAGGAGCAGCCCAGCAGCGGGAGCAGCCCCUCAUCCCUAGGGCUGUCCCCCUCUGUGCACUGAGCCGGGGCUUCCCCUGCUUCUCCCACUCCUCCAGUACUGACACAGCUUUACCCCUGUGUAGAAAACUGCUGAUAUGCUUGAAGCUCCCCCAGGCUGCACGGGCUCCGCUCCCUCUGCCACAUCAGCGCGUGUUGCAAGCGGCUGGGAGGAUGGAGAGCAUGUGAGCAUUUCUUGGAGCUAGAAGGCUCUGCUCCUCAGGUUUUGGCUUCAGAUGACCCGAGCUCCUAAUGCACUCCGCACUUAAUUCACCCUUGCCAGUGCAAAUGCUCUUAUUUAUGAGGUUGGUAAUCACUUUCUAUCAACACGCUCUGGAAGUCUGCUCCUUCCACAGAACA
Numida meleagris (helmeted guineafowl) is the source of this 8667-nucleotide long non-coding RNA. RefSeq lists it as uncharacterized. The transcript has 4 exons. NCBI's taxonomy places the organism in Eukaryota, Metazoa, Chordata, Aves, Galliformes, Numididae. The record is from RefSeq and is a predicted model, not a curated record.